RNAcentral lists this ribosomal RNA (506 nucleotides) under Orya almohadensis. RNAcentral describes it as "partial 28S ribosomal RNA". It matches the Rfam family "Eukaryotic large subunit ribosomal RNA", at positions 72 to 443 of the family's 3401-position model. The record is from RNAcentral. Lineage: Eukaryota; Metazoa; Arthropoda; Chilopoda; Geophilomorpha; Oryidae.
GGAUUUCCCCAGUAACUGCGAGUGAAGAGGGAAAAGCCCAGCGCUGAAGCCCCCAACCCCGAUUCGAUCAGGAUGACAGGCAAUGUGGCAUGUGGGAGGAGCCACAGAUGUACAAUCGUCGGUCAGUUUAAGGUUCCCCUCGAUCCGCAUCGUGAAACCGGACCUGAUUUUUUUCCGUUCCUGGCUGUGGGAGCCCGAGUCCCCCUGACUGGGACCAUCGCCUACAGAGAGUGCAAGGCCCCUGCGGCUCGCAGGCGGCGGCCAGGAAAUCAGCUCGCGAGCGAAUUUUUUUCCCCUUUCUGGGGGGAAAAGUCGUUCCUCACCCUGGAGUCAGGUUCUUGAGAGUGCAGCCCUAAGUUGGUGGUAAACUCCAUCAAAGCCUAAAUACUUUCAUAAGACCGAUAACAAACAAGUACCAUGAGGGAAAGUUGAAAAAAAUGCUGGAGAGAGUUCAAGAGUACGUGAAACUGCUCACAGGCAAACAGGUGGGCCCACGAAGGUCAAAC